GACGAACGCUGGCGGCGUGCUUAACACAUGCAAGUCGAACGGAAAGGCCCUGCUUUUGUGGGGUGCUCGAGUGGCGAACGGGUGAGUAACACGUGAGUAACCUGCCCUUGACUUUGGGAUAACUUCAGGAAACUGGGGCUAAUACCGGAUAGGAGCUCCUGCUGCAUGGUGGGGGUUGGAAAGUUUCGGCGGUUGGGGAUGGACUCGCGGCUUAUCAGCUUGUUGGUGGGGUAGUGGCUUACCAAGGCUUUGACGGGUAGCCGGCCUGAGAGGGUGACCGGCCACAUUGGGACUGAGAUACGGCCCAGACUCCUACGGGAGGCAGCAGUGGGGAAUAUUGCACAAUGGGCGGAAGCCUGAUGCAGCAACGCCGCGUGCGGGAUGACGGCCUUCGGGUUGUAAACCGCUUUCGCCCGUGACGAAGCGUGAGUGACGGUAAUGGGUAAAGAAGCACCGGCUAACUACGUGCCAGCAGCCGCGGUGAUACGUAGGGUGCGAGCGUUGUCCGGAUUUAUUGGGCGUAAAGGGCUCGUAGGUGGUUGAUCGCGUCGGAAGUGUAAUCUUGGGGCUUAACCCUGAGCGUGCUUUCGAUACGGGUUGACUUGAGGAAGGUAGGGGAGAAUGGAAUUCCUGGUGGAGCGGUGGAAUGCGCAGAUAUCAGGAGGAACACCAGUGGCGAAGGCGGUUCUCUGGGCCUUUCCUGACGCUGAGGAGCGAAAGCGUGGGGAGCGAACAGGCUUAGAUACCCUGGUAGUCCACGCUGUAAACGGUGGGUACUAGGUGUGGGGUCCAUUCCACGGGUUCCGUGCCGUAGCUAACGCUUUAAGUACCCCGCCUGGGGAGUACGGCCGCAAGGCUAAAACUCAAAGGAAUUGACGGGGCCCCGCACAAGCGGCGGAGCAUGCGGAUUAAUUCGAUGCAACGCGUAGAACCUUACCUGGGUUUGACAUGGAUCGGGAGUGCUCAGAGAUGGGUGUGCCUCUUUUGGGGUCGGUUCACAGGUGGUGCAUGGCUGUCGUCAGCUCGUGUCGUGAGAUGUUGGGUUAAGUCCCGCAACGAGCGCAACCCUUGUUCACUGUUGCCAGCACGUUAUGGUGGGGACUCAGUGGAGACCGCCGGGGUCAACUCGGAGGAAGGUGGGGAUGACGUCAAGUCAUCAUGCCCCUUAUGUCCAGGGCUUCACGCAUGCUACAAUGGCUGGUACAGAGAGUGGCGAGCCUGUGAGGGUGAGCGAAUCUCGGAAAGCCGGUCUCAGUUCGGAUUGGGGUCUGCAACUCGACCUCAUGAAGUCGGAGUCGCUAGUAAUCGCAGAUCAGCAACGCUGCGGUGAAUAAGUUCCCGGG
Molecule: ribosomal RNA, 1343 nt
Filed under: uncultured bacterium
Lineage: Bacteria
Description: 16S ribosomal RNA
Rfam family: Bacterial small subunit ribosomal RNA
Source: RNAcentral